GGAAAUGGACUCUUAUUUUUCUUGCAAUAGUAUAAAGGAUCUUUUAUAACAGUUGUUUUUUAUUUGACUUAACUUGAUUUAGUCUGCUUGAUUCAAGAACAGGCGAGUACAAGCCAUGAGUGGAUGAAAAUGUUUUCAGAUUUCACGUUUCCAAAUGGGCAGCGCUGAAAACAUUGAAUCUACUUGGCCAUUUGAUACAAGUGCUGGGAAGACUGGUCUCCUUGGACGAAUAGAUCAGUGAGGCAUAAAGACAGAAAGGUAAGCAUUUGACAAGUUGUUUUUGGAAU
Molecule: long non-coding RNA, 287 nt
Filed under: Canis lupus dingo (dingo)
Lineage: Eukaryota; Metazoa; Chordata; Mammalia; Carnivora; Canidae
Description: lncRNA (ENSCAFG00020021216.1)
Source: RNAcentral